GGACCAGUAGCUCAGCUGGAUAGAGCAUCAGCCUUCUAAGCUGACGGUCGAAGGUUCGAAUCCUUCCUGGUUCA
RNAcentral lists this transfer RNA (74 nucleotides) under bacterium. RNAcentral describes it as "tRNA-Arg". It matches the Rfam family "tRNA". Rfam says of the family: Transfer RNA (tRNA) molecules are approximately 80 nucleotides in length. Their secondary structure includes four short double-helical elements and three loops (D, anti-codon, and T loops). Further hydrogen bonds mediate the characteristic L-shaped molecular structure. tRNAs have two regions of fundamental functional importance: the anti-codon, which is responsible for specific mRNA codon recognition, and the 3' end, to which the tRNAs corresponding amino acid is attached (by aminoacyl-tRNA synthetases). tRNAs cope with the degeneracy of the genetic code in two manners: having more than one tRNA (with a specific anti-codon) for a particular amino acid; and 'wobble' base-pairing, i.e. permitting non-standard base-pairing at the 3rd anti-codon position. The record is from RNAcentral.